Long non-coding RNA from Zea mays, 2105 nucleotides. RefSeq lists it as uncharacterized. The record is from RefSeq and is a predicted model, not a curated record. NCBI's taxonomy places the organism in Eukaryota, Viridiplantae, Streptophyta, Magnoliopsida, Poales, Poaceae. The transcript is spliced from 3 exons.
GAGCCCACACAUCAGUCGCACUUCCCCACGCGCGCCCUGUUCUCUUCUCCACCGAGCUCUUUAUCUGUGCGCCACCUCCGCUGUCGCCUGCUCCUAGCCGGUGUCCUCGGUUGGCCCGAGCUCCGGUGACCUGCUCCCACGACUGCACCCGAGCCCCUCCUUCUCCUAUGCUGUGUGACUGCAUGCCCGCUCGCGAGACUGGGUCGAAAGCGGUUCAGGCCAGGACGACUUCAUAGGGAAAACCCCCAAGGCAUCUCCAUAUAGACUUAAAAAUCCUUGAGUGUUCAUGAGUGUUGCCCUCUUGCAAGCGCCAAACUCUAGGUUGUGGUUCCUUACCCGGCUGGAGUCUACGUCUCCGACAUUUGGUGCGCUAGGUAGCGGGAUGUUAAGUCCCUGUGAGUUUUGUGCCCUCCCUCUAGUGCCUCCGAUGGGUGCAUUCGGUCACCCGACCGGAGUCUACGUCACCGACAUUCGAUGCUACAGGGAUGGGGGAAUGGAGGUGUUUCCCCUAUGAGCCCCUUCCUCGUCUUGGUAGGGAGAAUCUCGAAUAUGAUUCUCCUAGCCAGGCGUUGAAGUUCCUCCUCUGACGACCGGUGCACUCCGUCGCCCGGCCAGCGAGGGCUACGCCUGCGACAACCUCAUCUCGUCGGAGGUGGCCUACGGGCCAUGGGGCCCCUGGGGGCACACCACGUGCACUAGUGGGGUUUCAAGAGCAGUGCUAAGACCCACGUCGCCCCCUACGUCGGCCUACUACUAGGCUCUGUGGCGCCAGACCUAACUCGUCGACCACAACAAGAGAUAUAUGGCAUUUGCAACGUCUCGAAUUUCUAUUUUAGGAUUUAUAAAAGUCCUAAAAAGUUUUGAGAAUAAAAUGACUUCCAAUAACAAUUUCAAUCCUUUAUAGAGUAUAUCUCUCUAAACUAAAAAAUAUCAAUAACUAAAAAUUUGGUAUUCAAAACAUAGAUCCAAAACGUAAAACUUAAAGUUGAAGCAACAAAUAAAAGAGAGACUUUCAAUAUAUUUCUUGUUCCCUUUAAAGCACUCUUUAAAAAUGUUCAAACAAAAAAAUAUAUUAAAACUAGGGAGAUUUUUAAAUAAUGUGGCUAAAUAUUUUACAUAAAUUAUUUCCAUUGUUAUAUAAAAGUUUAGAUAAUUAUUUGAAAGAAAAAUUUAUUGGAAUUUGGUUCUCUUAUGGGAAUUAUAUAUUUGAAAUUUAUAGGAAAGUACUAAAUAAAUUUUCUGCUUUUGCAUAUCAUACUGGAUUUCUAUGUGUGCAUUUGAACUUGAGUGUAUAACUCAAAACCCAAUUUGGAUUUAAACAAAUAGAAAAUAAAAUAGAAAACAAAAAUAAAGAAAAAAGGAAAAAGUGAAGCCCUUACCUGGGUCGAGUCCUAUUGCUCCCAGCCCAUCUCCCCCCUCUUUCCUCCCCGAUGAGCCCACUUUUCCCUCUCACUUUUCUUUUCUCCCCGCACCGCGUAUUUGUGUCACUGGUGGCUGGGGCCCGCCUAUAAGGUCCAUCCCCUUCGUCAUCCCCGAGCCGUAGCGUGCGCCAACAGACCACCAAAAUCGGUGGGAAGCUCGGCCUCUGCGCGGACUCCGUUCCUUCUGACUGGGCUAUAAAGUUGAGUUCUGGGGCUCCCCUUUGCCCAUCCUGUCUGUCUGCUAAGCUUGUUCCGUGUGUGUGCCGCCACCGAGGAACAUAGGGGAGAUAGAGGGAGAAAAGUGCCGCUGCACCAUAAAUCAUGCACCGCCGGUGUCGGGCCCUCAGUGACCGGCCACAGACCACAGUGCUUCACCAAGUCGCAAGUAGGGUACUUGUGGCCAUGCCGGGUGGAGUAGAAGACGGGAACCCUUGGGAUUGCUCACUAGAGCAAUUUAGCCACCGUGGAUCCGCCCUUCAUCGAUGAUUCGACGUUCAGGUGCAUAUCUCACGGUCAAGGACAUGUACUACAAGAUGAGGAGCAAGAAGGAUGUCACGAUGAGAUUCGUGAGAGGUCUAGGCCGUCGUCUCCUAGUCAACUAUGGUUGCUGGAUCGUUGUCUUCGUAUGAUGUAACUAUUUAACUAUUUUGUAUAGAACUGCAUUAUAUAUUAAAGAUAUGACAU